Molecule: long non-coding RNA, 6518 nt
Filed under: Homo sapiens (human)
Lineage: Eukaryota; Metazoa; Chordata; Mammalia; Primates; Hominidae
Description: non-protein coding lnc-KCNT1-1:2
Source: RNAcentral
UUUCCUCAGGCUCUAAGGCCCGCGGUGUGGAGCGCGGCGUAGGCAGCGGGGAGUGGGCGGCGCGGGGUGGGUGGAGUGGGUCGGCGGCGGGGAUCCUGCCGAGCCCGCAGCUGCCCUCUUUUAGCGCCGUGUCUCCUCCCCGGCCCUGGCUCGUCCCACCUCAGCCACAGCCCGGCCCCCUGGCCGGCCGAGGUCUCGCCGCCGGCGCCCUGGGGACCUCGUGGGUGUGGCCGGCGGCGACCUCGGCAGGCGACAGCCCAGCAGACGGGCACCAGGUGGACGUGCCAGUCUCCAGACCCCCGUCCCGGUGCAGGGAAGGUGGGCGUUUGGACCCCUGAGGCAGAAACAGGUGCGGCCCCGCCGGCGCAUCCCCCGGAAGGGACGCUGACUUCGUUCCCCUGGAGCCUGCGUCGGGGCCCGCGCUGGGCUGAGAAUUACGGGAACGCCGUGAGAGUUUGCAUUCCGAGGAUUUGGUCUGAGAACCUCACCAGCGAAAUAGAGAACUGCCCCCGGGAGAGCCGGCCCACGUGCCGCCCACCGGCGCCUUGACGGCAGGGAGAGGUCGAGCUUCCAGGGAGCGGGCGCCCGGCGCGGGGCUCCCAGCCUGUCUGUACCUGGUCGAGACACCCCGUGCCAGAGGCGGAACAUGUAUGAAAUGCCAGGUGCCCAGAGGACCCAGGCAGUCCGUCAUUCACAUACCAACCCACGUGCAGGCUUCAAUUCAACCUUGAAGCCAUUUGGGCCUGGGCUUUUUUGAUGACUUAUUUGAUUCAUAGUUUUUUGGUUACUAAUUGAGUCUCUUCACUUGUUAUAGGUCUGUUGAGAUUGUCUAUUUUUUCUUGAGUCAGCCGUCUGAAAAGAACACGAGGUGGACAGGGCAGAGCGGUCAAGGAAAGCCAUAGGAGGAGGGCACUUAUUUGAGCAAAGACCGGCGGGACGUGGGCGUCGAGGGUAAGGAUAUCUGCAGAAGUACUGUCUUGAGCAAGGAGCACGGCAGACAGAGCCUCUGAGACACGAGAGCCUGGAGUGUAAGAAACACAGUAGAGGCCACUAAGUCGAGAACGCAGGAGCUGGAAGGACUGGUAGGAAAUGGGAGGUGGGGACAUGGAGGGAUGCAGACAGGUCCUGCACAGUCAGAACUGUGGCCCCUUCUCUGCAGGAAAUGGGCAGCCUUCGGAAGACUGAGCACACGGAAGGAUAUGACUAACCCUUUAAAAGGGUCAUUCUGACUCCUGGGUGAAGAACAGACUAGGAAGGGCUGAGGAGGAGGCAGGAGGCCAUCUACUGUUAUAUGGGAUGUGGAGUGUGACCCGGAAAGGUCAAGUGUGACUCUAAGGGCUUUUUGUGUACUGAUCUUUUAUCCUGCAACCUUGCUAAACCCAUUUAUUAGUUCUUCUUGUCUUUUAGUGGCAUUUAUUAGUUGUUCUAGUGUUUUAGUGGAUUCCUUGGGAUUUUAUACAAAAGCGUGUCAUUUGUGAAUAGAGAUCAGUUUAUCUCUUCCUUUCUAAUCUGGAUGCCUUUUAUUUCUUCUCCUUGCCUAGCUGCCCUAUCUAGAAGCUCCAGUACAAUAUUGACUAGAAGCAGCAAGAGUGGACAUCCUUGUCUUGCUCCUGAUUUCAGGGAGGAGGCAUCCAGUCUUUCACCUUUGGGUAUGAUGAUAGCUGUGGGUGCUUAAAAAAUAGGUUUUAUCAGGCUGGGCACAGUGGCUCACGCCUGUAAUCCCAACCCUUUGGGAGGUCGAGGCGGGCGGAUCACGUGGGGUCCAGAGUUUGAGACCAGCCUGGCCAACAUGGAGAAAUCCCAUCUCUACUAAAAAUACAAAAAGUUAGCUGAGGUUGGUGGCCGGUGCCUGUAAUCCCAGCUAAAAAAGGGAAACUGUCUAAAAAUCAUUAAAAAAAAGGGUACUUCCUCAACCUGAUAAAACCUAUUUUUUGUUUGUUUGAGAUAGUGUCUCACUCUGUCACCCAGGCUGGAGUACAGUGGCUGGAUCUUGGCUCACUGCAACCUCUGCCUCCCAGGUUCAAGCGAUUUUCCUGCCUCAGCCUCCUGAGUAGCUGGGAUUGCAGGCACAGGCCGCCACGCCCAGCUAGUUUUGUAUUUUUAGUAGAGAUGGGGUUUUACCAUGUUGGCCAGGCUGGUCUUGAACUCCUGACCUCCAGUAAUCCACCCCCCUGGGCCUCCCAAAAUGCUGGGAUUAUAGGCGUGAGCUACCACGCCCAGCCGAGGAAGUAUCUUCUAUUUCUAGUUUGUUGAGUGUGUUUAUCAUGAAAACGUGUCAGAUUUGGUUAAAUGAUUUUUCCACAUCCAUUGAGAUGAUGAUCAUGGGUUUUUUUCCUUGUUCUAGUAAUGUGGUGUGUUACAUUAAUUGACUUUCAGAUAUUGAAAAGACACUUAUCCCCUGCGUUCAGAUAAAUUCCAGUUGGUCAUGGAGUAUCUGUCUUCCUGGAUUCAGUUUAAUACAAUUUUGUUGAGUGAUUUUUUUUAUCCAUAUUCAUCAUAGAUACUGGUCUGAAGUUUUCUUGUGGUGUCUGUGUCUGGUUUUGGUAUCGGUAUCAGUGUCCUACUGGGCCUCAUAAAAUGAGUUGGAAGUGUUCCUCUUUUUUUUUUUUUUUUUUUUUUUAAGAUGGCUGUUCACUGUAUCAUCCAGGCUGGUCACCAAUUCCUGGCUUCAACUGAUCCUCCCACCUCAAGCCUCCUGAGUAGCUGGGAUCACAGGCACAAGCCACUGGACCCAGCUUUAAUUGUUUAAGUGUUUCAUAGAAUUCAUUAUUGAAGCCAUUUGGGUCUGGGCUUUUUUGAUUACUUAUUUUGAUUAUUAAUUCAAUCUCUAUUUGUUGUAGGUCUAUUCAGAUCAUCUGUUUGUGUCUUUAGAGGAAUUUGUCCGUUUUAUUUAAGUUACAGUGUUUUGGGCGUAAGCAAUUUUAAGGAGAAAGUUAUCCUUAACCAAGAUGGGAAAGGUCGAGGCAGGGUGGUACAGGGAUUUUACCUCCCACCAGGUAUCUCCCACAAACUCCCCCUAAUAUAAUACCGGCGGAGUUUGGGCUGUGGCUUUGGCUGUGUUGAGUCUCAGAUGCCUGUUGGGCCUCCUCAUGGAAACGCUGGUGGGCGAUUGGAUGAGCAAGUCACCGGCGUGGCCCAGGUUGGAGACUGGGAAUUGUCACCACAGAGAGAGCCUUUAGAGCUGUGAGACAGGAGGAGGCGCCAAGGAGCCAUUGCUCAGGUGGAGGGGAAGUCGAGGCAUGGUGCUUGGGCCUAGGGGCAGCACUUGGGAGUAGUCAGCCUGAAAGGUGAGAAGCCAGGAGAGGGGUCCCCAGCUUAUGGCCUGGGAGCUAACUCAGAUUUGGCGAGUGCAGGUUUUGUGGAAUGGUGGUGUAUUAGUCCGUUUUCACGGUGCUAAUAAAGACACACCCGACACUGGGCAAUUUACAAAAGACAGAGGUUUAGUGACUUACAGUUCCACAUGGCUGGGGAGGCCUCACAAUCAUGGUGGAAGGCAAGGAGGAGCAAGUCACAUCUUACGUGGAUGGCGGCAGGCAAAGAGCGAGAUUGGGCAGGGAAACUCCCCCUAAUAUGAUACUGUCAGAUCUCGUGAGACUUACUCACUAUCACGAGAACAGCAUGGGAAAGACCUGCCCCAUGAUUCAAUUACCUCCCACCGGGUCCCUCCCACAGCAUGUGCAAAUUCAAGAUGAGAUAUGGGUGGGGACAAAAGACAGGCAGGAGUUCCGAGGAUGAGUAUUUGCAUUCUGUCCCUGAGUUUGCUGUAAAGGAGAGCAGCGAGACAGAGGCAUGGGGUGCGGAAUGGCGUGUUUAAGAUGGAGUGAUGACAGGUGCCCGUUGGAGUGAUGCAGUAGACAGGAUCUGAUGAUGGGGAGCAGGUGUCGUGUGCCCUUGAGCAGGAGCCCAGCAGAGAGACCCUUUUUCCUCCUGUAGCAGCAGAAGAGAAGGCAGCAGGGUGCAGGACUGAAGGAGGGCUGGGCUGGGCUGGGAUGGGAGCCUGGCUGGUUUUCCCCUGGUGGCCCUAUGACUGGUUAAGGGCAGGGCAGAGGCACGGCAGGUUGGAGGCACAGAAGGCCCAAGAUAGUUAUCUGGGCUGGAUGUGGGGCGGUAUUCUCGCCUCUCUGGGGACAUCCCUUAAGUGGACAGGAAGACUGGGUGGUUCAGGUGUAUGUCCACUCACCAAGAACACAGGAUGAAGGUGGGGCCUAGACAGUGGCUGUUUUGACCAGGGCAGAACAGUUGAGGGCAUGUGAGAGGGCCCAUGCUGACGCCAGACCUCAGUGGGGAGAGGGGAGAGUCCAGGGACCAGAGGUCCCCCUAGGCUUAAAGGACAAACCACAAGGAGAAGAGGAAGAAGUCUCUAUGUCAUUAAAGUUUCAUUAUCAGGGCUGCUAUAAUGCUUCUCAUUGCUUAUUAUAAAACCCAAUUCUGCAAGACCAGCCUAGCCAACAUGGUGAAACUCUGUCUACUAAAAAUACAAAAAUUAGCUGGGCGUGGUGGCAUGUGCCUGUAAUCUCAGCUACUCAGGAGGCUGAGGCAGGAGAAUUGCUUAAACCUGGGAGGCAGAGGUUGCAGUGAGCCAAGAUCGUGCCACUGUACUCCAGCCUGGGAGACAGAGGGAGACUCCAUCUCAAAAACGAAACAAAACAAAAAAAAAAACUAAUUCUGGCCCAGCGUGGUAGUUCACACCUGUAAUCUCAGCACUUUGGGAGGCCAAGGCAGAAGGAUCGCUUGAGCGCAGGAGUUCAAGACCAUUCUGGGCAACAAAAUAAGACCCCACCUCUACAAAAAAUAAAAAAAAUAGAAGGAAGCAAUAGUGUGCACCUGGGGUCCCAGCUACUCAGGAGGCUGAGGUAGGAGGAUCACUUGAGCCCAGAAGGUCGAGGCUACAGUGAGCCGGGAUUGUGCCACUGUACUUCAGCCUGGGUGACAAAACAAGACCCUCUGACUCAAAAAAAAGAAAAAGAGAAAAAUAUUUUUGUUAGAGCAAAACAGGCUGACCUUUUUUUCGGGUUUUUUUUGGUUUGUUUUUGUUUUUUUGAGAUGGAGUCUCGCUCUGUCGCCCAGGCUGGAGUGCAGUGGCACGAUUUCGGCUCACUGCAAGCUCUGCCUCCCGAGUUCACGCCAUUCUCCUGCCUCAGCCUCCCAAGUAGCUGGGACUACAGGCGCCCACCACCACGCCCGGCUAAUUUUUUGUAUUUUUAGUAGAGACGGGGUUUCACCGUGUUAGCAGGAUGGUCUCGAUCUCCUGACCUCGUGAUCCACCCGUCUUGGCCUCCCAAAGUGCUAGGAUUACAGGCAUGAGCCACUGCGCCCAGCCCUUUUUUUCGUUUUUAAUGUUGAGACUAGGUUACAGCAUUAUUAGAUACAAUGAAGGUAGAGGGAAGGUGCUCAGAACUCUCCUACAAGCAUAGCAGCUGCUCAGGCACAGCUCCAGUGACUCCAGGGCCCAGCCUUCUGGGGAGGAGUUGGAUGGGCAUAUUCCUUGAGGGGCUCCCACCUGCCCACAGAGAGCACAAGAGGAGAACUCAUCCUGUUUGCCCUGCUUUUCCCAUCUUGUUCCUAGACAUCCUGAGGUUCCCACCAAGUGGACAUUGGCUUAUUCUACAAGCAACAGGAUGAGGCCCCUGGACUCCUCACUAGCAAAAUAGUGCAGUGACAGCAACACCCCCCCCCACACACACACACACAAAGAUGUCCACAUCUUAAUUCCUGGAACCUGUGAAUGUGUGACCUUACCUGGUGUCUUAGUUCAUUUGUGCCACUGUAACAAAAUACCACAGACUGGGUAAUUUAUAAACAAUAUAAAUUUGUUUCUCAUGGUUCUGAAGGCUGGGAAGUCCAAGAUCAAGGCACUGGCAUGUCCUGUGUCUGGUGAGAGCACUUCGUUACUGUUUCCUCUGGAGGGAAGAAUGCUGUGUCCUCACAAGGUGGGAUGGACAGAGGGGCAAGAAAAGGCCAAACUCCACAGGAAGCCUCUUUUAUAAGAGGAGCCCUCGUGACCUAGUCCGAAAUGGCCCCACCUCUUCUUUCACCACAAUGGGGACCAAGUUUGUUGUUAGUUAACCUAAAUGACAGAGGAGCUCUCUAAAGAGAUAUUUAUUCAGGAAUAGGGCCUUGCAACGGGAACACGUAUAUUACGGUAACUGCAUGUUCAAGGAAGACAAAAGUUUUAAAGGAAGAAAGGAAGAUUACAUAAUCAUUUUGAAAUGAUACUCUUGACUGCAAAGAUUAAUAGCAAGGGAGACACCGGUCCAAGUUUGGAAGGUAGCUGCUGGGCAGGUAUCCUUGCAGAAGUAUUUUCUUGUGUAAGAUUUCAGCGGCCUUGGCCAGGUGUGGUGGCUCACGCCUAUAAUCCUAGUAGUUUGGGAGGCUGAGGUGGGUUAAUCACUUGAAGUCAGGAGUUCAAGACCAGCCUGGCUAACAUAGUGAAACUCUGUCUUCACUAAAAAUACAAAAAUUAGCCGGGCAUGGUGAUGCAUACCUCUAAUCCCAGCUACUCAGGAGGCUGAGGCAGG